CGAGGAAGAAGCAGAGGCAGGCAAAUUACAUAGUAUUAUACGGAUUAUAAAGAAGAAACCACCACCAUUACACUAAUACACACAAAGCUCGAUCAAGCAGCUUAAUUAAUUUCUUCCACAUGUACGACAUGCAUCCUCUCCUCACUCCGUGAUCAAUUUAAGAUGAUUCUUUGCAGCUCCAGCUCGACGACGAUCCAUCCGAAUUAAAAUCAUUUGACCUCCUGGAUCUCGUCCAGGGCGUAGUUGUUGGUCGACACGCCGGCGUAGUUCACCUUGGCGAACCGAACCACCACCGGGUAGCGAGUGUUGGGAUCCUGAUCAACGGUGACGACGGAGCCAGUGCCGUUGUACCAGUAGGACUCCCUCCUCAGGAUCUUCACCUUGGUGCCUCUCUUGGGGCCAAUGGGAGGCGGCUUGGCGGCGGCGGGCUCCUUGGUCGCCACGGCCGCCUCGGCCUCCGCCGGCUUCUCCUCCGCCGCGGGCGG
Molecule: unclassified non-coding RNA, 485 nt
Filed under: Hevea brasiliensis (rubber tree)
Lineage: Eukaryota; Viridiplantae; Streptophyta; Magnoliopsida; Malpighiales; Euphorbiaceae
Source: RNAcentral